UACGGAGGGGCUAGCGUUGUUCGGAAUUACUGGGCGUAAAGCGCACGUAGGCGGCUUUGCAAGUUAGAGGUGAAAGCCCGGGGCUCAACUCCGGAAUUGCCUUUAAAACUGCAUCGCUAGAAUGUUGGAGAGGUAAGUGGAAUUCCGGAGUGUAGAGGUGAAAUCGUAGAUAUUCGGAAGAACACCAGUGGCGAAGGCGACUUACUGGACACAUAUUGACGCUGAGGUGCGAAAGCGUGGGGAGCAAACAGG
Molecule: ribosomal RNA, 252 nt
Filed under: uncultured bacterium
Lineage: Bacteria
Description: partial 16S ribosomal RNA
Rfam family: Bacterial small subunit ribosomal RNA
Source: RNAcentral